RNAcentral lists this long non-coding RNA (2087 nucleotides) under Anas platyrhynchos platyrhynchos (common mallard). Its description in RNAcentral is "lncRNA (ENSAPLG00000019021.1)". Lineage: Eukaryota; Metazoa; Chordata; Aves; Anseriformes; Anatidae. The record is from RNAcentral.
AUGCAACCCGGCAGACACCCUGGGAGCAAGGAGGGUAUUUUGGGGAGUUGCAGUGUUGUGCGGAAGAUCAUGUCUGUGCCCUGUGGUGCUGUCAGCAGUGACAGAUCCCAGAUGCAGCCGCUACUGUAUGGCAGAUUGAGUUUCUCAGCAGAAAACUCUCUCCCUCCCUCCCAAACGUCUUCAAAAACCUUCUCCAGAUACUGCGGGUCACUUCGGCUCAAACAGGGAGAGAAAGGGGGAAAAAAGGCUUUCCCUCUCCCCCACCCUUUCUCUUCCCCGAGCCAGAUCUCUCCGGGGUGUGGGGGGGCCAUGCCUGCUCCCCUCCCCGCCCGGGGUGCCCCCUGCCCCCCUCGUCGCCCCCGGCUCGCUGCGAGCCCGCCGCCGACCAUGGGAAGCCUCGUACAGAAGCGGUUGCGGCUCCCGGGAAGCUCAACCCGCUCUUCCACGCGUGCCCCGGGCCUCCUGCCCCUCCUGCCCGCACCCCUGGCAAGUAUUUACCGCCCCCCCCCAACCCCCCCGCUCCCCCUCCGAGUGCCGAAAUCGGAGGCCGAGGCUGGGCUGUUUCCUCCUGCACCCUUUCCCCCCCCCUCCAGCAAGUAUUUGGUGCUUAAGGGCUCUAAUCUGUCUGGCACCGGGCGGGUCUCACGUCCGCGGAUCAGCCCCGAAAGCCUCCGCACCGGGCGGGCAGAGGCCGGGGGGGGCCUCCGCUAGCGCAGCCUCGGGCCUCGGCCUCCGCUGCAGACCUCCGAGCAGCGCCGGGAUGGAGACGAGCUGGUUUCAUGCACGCACAUGCCUCCCGUAAACGAUUCCUGCCACCCUCGCUCUCGGUCCUUCCUUUCCCGCUGAAGUGAAAGGCUUUAAUUCAGCCGCUCGCCCAGCCCCCUCCCCUCUCUCUCUUUCUCUCUCCUUUUUUUUUUUUUUUUUUUUUUUUUUUUUUAAAGCUCUUGCCUUUAGCAGAAGUAUAAUUGUGACCCUGCCUGAUCCACAGAGCCUCCUGUUGGGAGCAGUUAGCUGUGGUUGCAUUAGGCCAAAGGACCUCCCAAGUGGCGGUGGCCUGGGUGUCAUAGGAAGGGACUCUGCACAUUGUCCAUUCUUUCUCAUCAAAGUCCCAGGCACCGUGGAGCCAACAGUUUGGUGGAGCAGGAAAAUAGUAAACAAGCCUCCCCCCUCCCUUCCCAAGCCAGCAGCACCGUGAUCUUCCUAAGAGGCAAGAAACUGUAACAAACUUUUUCAUAACUUCAGCUCUACGGUGUGAUUUACAUUUCCGGCUCCCCUGUCGGAGUGGCAGUAAUUUACAGCGUGAUAAAAACACUUUUACAACGCCAGAACAUGUUCGAGUAGUGUCUCAGUGUGCAGAAAGGUUUUAAAAGACGACACACAUCAGAAAAAGUUAUUUUCUCUGCCUUUUUUUUUUCCACCGUGGCUUUCUGAAGAGACAAAUGGGUUGAAAUUGCAACGUAGGCAAAAAAAAAAAAAAAAAAAAAAAAGUGAAAAGUAGACGCGGGCUGAAGCAAACGUGGAUGAAAUCAAUCCUGGGCUUUUGUUUAUAUGGUGUAUAUUAUAUGUCCACAUUUCUCCUGUUUCUGCAAGGCUUUCGCUUAAUGCAUGCUUCUAUUUUCGUGCUUUCGGGCCAAAUCCUGCUUGUCUUGCCCCAGGGGAUGCUUUCAUUUGGUCAUGGAUCUAUUGUGUUUAAACAAUUUCUUUUAUUCAAUAACUCAUUUCUUCUCCGGAGUCUUAAACCGAGUAGGUCUGUUAGCGUUUAUGAAAGGGAAGCAUCUUUUAUUCAGUUCUAAUUUCCCUAAUCUGAUAUAGGCAGCUUUUCCAAAUACCGGGGUAAUAGGGUUACCCCUUCUCCAGGAGCAUCCAGUUUGUUCCAGCCACGCUCCUCCGCCAGGGAGGACUCCUGCGGCGGGGCAGGACGGGUCUGGAAACUAAUGGACACCAUCCCUGUCCUGGGAGAGACGAUAAAGUUUAGUAAAUUACAAAUAUGCGAAUUUGGCAAACAGUUAAGGAUUAAAAUGAUCAAACGAUUAAAAAAAAAAAAAAAAAGGCAAUGAAUAAACCACAUGUAGCAGUUGCCGCUUUCA